GCGGCUGCCGGGCGCGCUGGCCGCCUGGGCGCGGCGCUGCGGCUACGAGCCCGUAGCGCUGGCGGAGCGUGCCGAGCCCGCCGCGGACUCGCCGCCCGACGCCGUGGGCGUGCAGCGCGUGCGCGACGCGUUGCAUGCGCACGCGUGGCGCGGCCUGCAGCACGCGCACACAGGUGUGGGGGAGGCGGAGGCGGAGGGCGCGGUGGAGCGCGCGGAGGCGUUCGCGGCGGCGCUGGGCGCGCUGGCGGCCGCGCGCGACGCGCCGCCCGCCGACGACGCCGAGCGGCGGCGCCGCGCCGAGCGCGUCGUGGCCGCCUUCUGCCGCGCGCUGGGCGCCGAGCCGCCGCUGCUGUGAGGAGGGCGCGGCCGGGAAGACGAAUCAAACGACGCACCAAAAAUGCAUAUUUAUUUAUUAAAACGAUAAAAAGUCGGAUAUGUGCGGCCGCAGCGCGCGUGUAAAUACUCUAGGGGGCGGCGGCCCGCUCCCGGAUCACAGAUUGUGCAUUAUUAUCUCUUCGGACGAAAGCGUCUCCGACGCGUACAAUAAAGUGCUACCCCAGCGACGAUGUUUGCUUGUCCCCUCUCCUGUCCCGCUCCCGCGCAGGGGAGCGGCGACGCUGUAGCUCCUGUCCCGCUCCCGCGCAGGGGAGCGGCGGCGCUGUAGCUCCUGUCCCGCUCCCGCGCAGGGGAGCGGCGACGCUGUAGCUCCUGUCCCGCUCCCGCGCAGGGGAGCGGCGGCGCUGUAGCUCCUGUCCCGCUCCCGCGCAGGGGAGCGGCGGCGCUGUAGCUCCUGUCCCGCUCCCGCGCAGGGGAGCGGCGGCGCUGUAGCUCUCUUACAAAUAAAUAACGAUAUAAUAUUCUAUUAACAGUAAAUGCUCCCCGAUGAGGCGUCUCUUCAAUUUGAUUAAUUAUUAUCUUUAGCUUAAAUUA
Long non-coding RNA from Maniola jurtina (meadow brown), 930 nucleotides. RefSeq lists it as uncharacterized. NCBI's taxonomy places the organism in Eukaryota, Metazoa, Arthropoda, Insecta, Lepidoptera, Nymphalidae. The transcript has 3 exons. The record is from RefSeq and is a predicted model, not a curated record.